RNAcentral lists this ribosomal RNA (446 nucleotides) under Pseudomonas sp. R-26428. RNAcentral's name for it is "bacterial SSU rRNA". It matches the Rfam family "Bacterial small subunit ribosomal RNA", at positions 30 to 470 of the family's 1533-position model. The record is from RNAcentral. Lineage: Bacteria; Pseudomonadati; Pseudomonadota; Gammaproteobacteria; Pseudomonadales; Pseudomonadaceae.
AUUGAACGCUGGCGGCAGGCCUAACACAUGCAAGUCGAGCGGAUGAGAAGAGCUUGCUCUUCGAUUCAGCGGCGGACGGGUGAGUAAUACCUAGGAAUCUGCCUGGUAGUGGGGGACAACGUUUCGAAAGGAACGCUAAUACCGCAUACGUCCUACGGGAGAAAGCAGGGGACCUUCGGGCCUUGCGCUAUCAGAUGAGCCUAGGUCGGAUUAGCUAGUUGGUGAGGUAAUGGCUCACCAAGGCUACGAUCCGUAACUGGUCUGAGAGGAUGAUCAGUCACACUGGAACUGAGACACGGUCCAGACUCCUACGGGAGGCAGCAGUGGGGAAUAUUGGACAAUGGGCGAAAGCCUGAUCCAGCCAUGCCGCGUGUGUGAAGAAGGUCUUCGGAUUGUAAAGCACUUUAAGUUGGGAGGAAGGGCAGUAAGCGAAUACCUUGCUGUUU